Homo sapiens (human) is the source of this 341-nucleotide non-coding RNA. Lineage: Eukaryota; Metazoa; Chordata; Mammalia; Primates; Hominidae. The record is from the annotation of a RefSeq genome assembly.
AUGGCCUGGAUCCCUCUCCUGCUCCCCCUCCUCAUUCUCUGCACAGUCUCUGUGGCCUCCUAUGAGCUGACACAGCCAUCCUCAGUGUCAGUGUCUCCGGGACAGACAGCCAGGAUCACCUGCUCAGGAGAUGUACUGGCAAAAAAAUAUGCUCGGUGGUUCCAGCAGAAGCCAGGCCAGGCCCCUGUGCUGGUGAUUUAUAAAGACAGUGAGCGGCCCUCAGGGAUCCCUGAGCGAUUCUCCGGCUCCAGCUCAGGGACCACAGUCACCUUGACCAUCAGCGGGGCCCAGGUUGAGGAUGAGGCUGACUAUUACUGUUACUCUGCGGCUGACAACAAUCU